GAUGAACGCUGGCGGCGUGCCUAAUACAUGCAAGUCGAGCGAACAGACGAGGAGCUUGCUCCUCUGACGUUAGCGGCUGACGGGUGAGUAACACGUGGAUAACCUACCUAUAAGACUGGGAUAACUUCGGGAAACCGGAGCUAAUACCGGAUAAUAUAUUGAACCGCAUGGUUCAAUAGUUAAAGACGGUUUUGCUGUCACUUAUAGAUGGAUCCGCGCCGCAUUAGCUAGUUGGUAAGGUAACGGCUUACCAAGGCAACGAUGCGUAGCCGACCUGAGAGGGUGAUCGGCCACACUGGAACUGAGACACGGUCCAGACUCCUACGGGAGGCAGCAGUAGGGAAUAUUCCGCAAUGGGCGAAAGCAUGACGGAGCAACGCCGCGUGAGUGAUGAAGGUCUUCGGAUCGUAAAACUCUGUUAUUAGGGAAGAACAAAUGUGUAAGUAACUAUGCACGUCUUGACGGUACCUAAUCAGAAAGCCACGGCUAACUACGUG
RNAcentral lists this ribosomal RNA (497 nucleotides) under uncultured bacterium. Its description in RNAcentral is "partial 16S ribosomal RNA". It matches the Rfam family "Bacterial small subunit ribosomal RNA", at positions 28 to 507 of the family's 1533-position model. The record is from RNAcentral.